This 28-nucleotide non-coding RNA is filed under the name Rattus norvegicus (Norway rat). The record is from RNAcentral. Lineage: Eukaryota; Metazoa; Chordata; Mammalia; Rodentia; Muridae.
UGAGGCCCCUUCUAAAAACCGGGUGCGU